This 116-nucleotide ribosomal RNA is filed under the name Maylandia zebra (zebra mbuna). The record is from RNAcentral. Lineage: Eukaryota; Metazoa; Chordata; Actinopteri; Cichliformes; Cichlidae.
GCUUACGGCCAUACCACCCUGAACACGCCCGAUCUCGUCUGAUCUCGGAAGCUAAGCAGGGUCGGGCCUGGUCAGUACUUGGAUGGGAGACCUGGCAAUACCAGGUGCUGUAAGCU